This 468-nucleotide ribosomal RNA is filed under the name uncultured bacterium. Its description in RNAcentral is "partial 16S ribosomal RNA". It matches the Rfam family "Bacterial small subunit ribosomal RNA", at positions 28 to 507 of the family's 1533-position model. The record is from RNAcentral.
GACGAACGCUGGCGGCGUGCUUAACACAUGCAAGUCGAACGGAUAGGCCCUGCUUUUGUGGGGUGCUCGAGUGGCGAACGGGUGAGUAACACGUGAGUAACCUGCCCUUGACUUUGGGAUAACUUCAGGAAACUGGGGCUAAUACCGGAUAGGAGCUCCUGCUGCAUGGUGGGGGUUGGAAAGUUUCGGCGGUUGGGGAUGGACUCGCGGCUUAUCAGCUUGUUGGUGGGGUAGUGGCUUACCAAGGCUUUGACGGGUAGCCGGCCUGGGAGGGUGACCGGCCACAUUGGGACUGAGAGACGGCCCAGACUCCUACGGGAGGCAGCAGUGGGGAAUAUUGCACAAUGGGCGGAAGCCUGAUGCAGCAACGCCGCGUGCGGGAUGACGGCCUUCGGGUUGUAAACCGCUGUCGCCUGUGACGAAGCGUGAGUGACGGUAAUGGGUAAAGAAGCACCGGCUAACUACGUG